This 424-nucleotide ribosomal RNA is filed under the name uncultured bacterium. RNAcentral's name for it is "bacterial SSU rRNA". It matches the Rfam family "Bacterial small subunit ribosomal RNA", at positions 354 to 796 of the family's 1533-position model. The record is from RNAcentral.
GUGGGGAAUAUUGGACAAUGGGCGAAAGCCUGAUCCAGCCAUGCCGCGUGAGUGAUGAAGGCCUUAGGGUUGUAAAGCUCUUUUGUCCGGGAAGAUAAUGACUGUACCGGAAGAAUAAGCCCCGGCUAACUUCGUGCCAGCAGCCGCGGUAAUACGAAGGGGGCUAGCGUUGCUCGGAAUCACUGGGCGUAAAAGGCGCGUAGGCGGACUUUUAAGUCGGAGGUGAAAGCCCAGGGCUCAACCCUGGAAUUGCCUUCGAUACUGGGAGUCUUGAGUUCGGAAGAGGUUGGUGGAACUGCGAGUGUAGAGGUGAAAUUCGUAGAUAUUCGCAAGAACACCGGUGGCGAAGGCGGCCAACUGGUCCGAAACUGACGCUGAGGCGCGAAAGCGUGGGGAGCAAACAGGAUUAGAUACCCCAUAGUCC